GACGUAGGGCGCGAGCGUUGUCCGGAUUUAUUGGGCGUAAAGAGCUCGUAGGCGGCUCGUUGCGUCGGCUGUGAAAACCCGCAGCUCAACUGUGGGCUUGCAGCCGAUACGGGCGGGCUGGGAUUCGGUAGGGGAGACUGGAAUUCCUGGUGUAGCGGUGAAAUGCGCAGAUAUCAGGAGGAACACCGGUGGCGAAGGCGGGACUCUGGGCCGAUACUGACGCUGAGGAGCGAAAGCGUGGGGAGCAAACAGG
Molecule: ribosomal RNA, 253 nt
Filed under: uncultured bacterium
Lineage: Bacteria
Description: partial 16S ribosomal RNA
Rfam family: Bacterial small subunit ribosomal RNA
Source: RNAcentral